UCUUCAUCUUCUUUUCUGAUUCAGCUUGUAUUUCUCUAUAUCUUUACAUAAAGCUUUAGAAUACUGUGAUUUUCUAUGUGAUUCAGGACUGCGGGAAACCAGUCUAUUUAGGUGAAAUUUUAUUUUGUUGCGUAUUUAUUUAAUAUAUUUUUCUGCAUCUGCAUUCUUAUUUUAUCUUCCUAUUUUAUUUUAUUUUUGGAACAGCCGAUACACGAUAUCCACACAAAAUUUCAGAUCUAAAUUUUACUGCGGACAUUCAACCAGAUCCAAGAAGAACAAAAUACAGGUCAUAUAUAAUUUUUCUUUGUGUGUGUAUUUACAAUUGUUGAUUUUCUAAAUUUAAACUAACUUUGAUCUACUUUUUGUUUUUGUUUUUCUACGGUGAUCAAUUAUUUGAGGUUUUAAACAUCUACUAGGAAAUUAGUACAUAUAUACAGCAUGCUUUUCCUUCAUCAUAGAGUUGAAAAAAAAAUAAAUUAGAUUUUUCAAUAAGUUUUCCUUUAGAUCUAUUCUCAUUUACAUUAUUUGGCCUUUUUUCUUCACAGAAGAAGAAAACGGUGAAGUACGACCUGAAAAUUGCAAAAGAAAAUGGAGAAGAAGAAAAUGAAGAAAAAAAAAGUGAAUUGCAGAAAAAGGCGCUGAGAUUUGCAAAUAAAAAUGGAGAAAAACCAGCUAUGACAAAAGUCACCCUUUAAACUUCAGUUGGCUGCUGUUGUUCGAUCGGAGAAGGUGGACGGCAAGAAUGACGAUGAAUAGCCUCUGAUUUGAAGGAGGAAGUGACACAUGGAUAAAGGAUCUAAGUUUCGGCGUGAUUUGAGAGAAGAGAGAGACGAUGGAGGCGAGAUGUACAAGAGGGGGAGAAAUAGAAAGGCGUAUGGACUAUGGAGGGCGUAUCAGAGGA
RNAcentral lists this long non-coding RNA (901 nucleotides) under Salvia miltiorrhiza (redroot sage). RNAcentral describes it as "long non-coding RNA (SMIL_LNC006072)". Lineage: Eukaryota; Viridiplantae; Streptophyta; Magnoliopsida; Lamiales; Lamiaceae. The record is from RNAcentral.